UACGGAGGGAGCUAGCGUUGUUCGGAAUUACUGGGCGUAAAGCGCACGUAGGCGGCUUUGUAAGUUAGAGGUGAAAGCCCGGAGCUCAACUCCGGAACUGCCUUUAAGACUGCAUCGCUUGAAUCCGGGAGAGGUGAGUGGAAUUCCGAGUGUAGAGGUGAAAUUCGUAGAUAUUAGGAAGAACACCAGUGGCGAAGGCGGCUCACUGGCUCGGUACUGACGCUGAGGCGCGAAAGCGUGGGGAGCAAACAGG
RNAcentral lists this ribosomal RNA (253 nucleotides) under uncultured bacterium. RNAcentral describes it as "partial 16S ribosomal RNA". It matches the Rfam family "Bacterial small subunit ribosomal RNA", at positions 524 to 776 of the family's 1533-position model. The record is from RNAcentral.